This 505-nucleotide ribosomal RNA is filed under the name uncultured bacterium. RNAcentral describes it as "partial 16S ribosomal RNA". It matches the Rfam family "Bacterial small subunit ribosomal RNA", at positions 28 to 507 of the family's 1533-position model. The record is from RNAcentral.
GACGAACGCUGGCGGCGUGCCUAAUACAUGCAAGUAGAACGCACAGUUUAUACCGUAGCUUGCUCCACCAUAGACUGUGAGUUGCGAACGGGUGAGUAACGCGUAGGUAACCUGCCUGGUAGCGGGGGAUAACUAUUGGAAACGAUAGCUAAUACCGCAUAAUAUUAAUUAUUGCAUGAUAAUUAAUUGAAAGGUGCAAUUGCACCACUACCAGAUGGACCUGCGUUGUAUUAGCUAGUAGGUGAGGUAACGGCUCACCUAGGCGACGAUACAUAGCCGACCUGAGAGGGUGAUCGGCCACACUGGGACGGAGACACGGCCCAGACUCCUACGGGAGGCAGCAGUAGGGAAUCUUCGGCAAUGGACGAAAGUCUGACCGAGCAACGCCGCGUGAGUGAAGAAGGUUUUCGGAUCGUAAAGCUCUGUUGUAAGAGAAGAACGGGUGUGAGAGUGGAAAGUUCACACUGUGACGGUAGCUUACCAGAAAGGGACGGCUAACUACGUG